This 440-nucleotide long non-coding RNA is filed under the name Gossypium barbadense (sea-island cotton). RNAcentral's name for it is "long non-coding RNA (GBAR_LNC002256)". The record is from RNAcentral. Lineage: Eukaryota; Viridiplantae; Streptophyta; Magnoliopsida; Malvales; Malvaceae.
AUCUUUAUUUUUAUUUUAUUUUUUUUCUCUUCCACUCUUCUUUUUUUCGUUUUCUUCUCUUCCACGAUGAACCUUAACGACAUCCCCUAAAUAAUCUUUUCUCUCAUCAAAACUAAAUUUAAAAAAUAAAUCUUUUUUUUCUCCCGAUUUCAUUGAUAUAUAAUCAUUCUCUCCGAGCUUGUUGUCGUUGAUGAUGAUUAUGAGACAAGAGGAAGUUGUUACCUGUAAAGAUCAGUUGCAAAUUAUUGGGAAUGUGGCAAGUGCCCAACACAACUGCCUCCUCCAAGUUUGGCGAUGGAUUCAAGCUCGAUGGCAAUGAUUUUUAGUGGAGUAGAAAUUGAAAGACAAAAAAUAAUGAUGAUUGGAUCAAGGAUUCAUCUUUGAUAAUGGAUUUGAAUCUCUACCUGAACCAUUCAGGCUAUUAUAACAUUUAAGAAUUG